This 290-nucleotide ribosomal RNA is filed under the name uncultured bacterium. Its description in RNAcentral is "partial 16S ribosomal RNA". It matches the Rfam family "Bacterial small subunit ribosomal RNA", at positions 513 to 793 of the family's 1533-position model. The record is from RNAcentral.
AGCCGCGGUAAUACGGAGGGGUGCGAGCGUUAAUCGGAAUUACUGGGCGUAAAGCGCAUGCAGGCGGCCUGUUAAGUCAGAUGUGAAAGACCCGGGGCGUUAACCUCGGAAAUUGCAUUUGAAACUAGGCAGGCUAGAGUCUUGUAGAGGGGGGUAGGAAGUUUCAGGUGUAGCGGUGAAAUAGCGUAGAGAUCUGAAGGAAUACCAGUGGCGAAGGCGGCCCCCUCGGACAAAGACUGACGCUCAGAUGCGAAAGCGUGGGGAGCAAACAGGAUUAGAUACCCUGGUAG